CGGGACACGGGACCCCGUCCGCUGUCACCGCCUGCCCGGUGCGGACCGCUCUUCGGUGGGGACCCCCGGGCGAUUGGGACCCGCCGCCCGUCGGGGCGGGCUCGGAGCGCAGCAUGGACAGCGUGCAGCUGCAGGACUUCGCGGCGGGCUGGGUGGGCGGAGCUGCCAGCGUUGUUGUUGGUCACCCCCUGGACACCAUCAAGACUCGUUUGCAAGCUGGGCAAGGCUAUGGAAAUACACUCAGUUGUGUUCUCACUGUGUACAGAAAUGAGUCUGUGGUUGGCUUCUUCAAAGGCAUGUCCUUCCCUCUGGCCACCAUGGCUGUCUACAGCUCCGUGGUGUUCGGUGUCUUCAGCAACACGCAGCGGCUCCUCAGCCAGCUCCGGCACGGAGACCCGGAUAGCACACCGGUGCUCGCCGACGUGGCUCUGGCCAGCAUGGUGGCUGGGUUCAUCUCCGUGGGUAUCGGCACUCCUGUGGACCUGGUAAAGAUAAGGCUCCAGAUGCAAACGCAGCCGUACAUCCAAGCAAACAUGAAACUAAAGCCCACAGUUCCUGGAUUUCCUGUGUAUCGAGGUCCAAUUCACUGCAUCAAGACAGUCCUACAGAAAGAGGGGAUAGCAGGAAUAUACCGAGGCGCAGGAGCAAUGCUUUUGAGGGAUGUUCCUGGGUACUGCCUCUAUUUCAUCCCUUACACAAUCUUCUGUGGCUGGAUUACCCCUGAUGGAUGCAUUUCCCCUAAUCCCUCCUCCAUCUGGCUGGCAGGGGGAGUAGCAGGAGCCAUUUCCUGGGGGACUGCUACUCCAAUGGACGUUGUGAAAAGUCGGCUUCAGGCUGAUGGAGUUUAUUUGAGCAAGUACAAAGGGACCCUUGACUGCAUCUUGCAGAGCUACCAGAACGAGGGCUUAAAAGUCUUUUUUAGGGGCAUCACGGUCAAUGCAGUGCGAGGAUUCCCAAUGUGUUCAGCCAUGUUUCUUGGCUAUGAACUUUCCCUCAAAGCAAUGAAAAGAGACCAAACUGAGACCAAUCCUUAACUUCCAGGUCAGCACAUAAAGACCCUUUAGCUUGAUUAGAGAAUUCAUCUUUGAAUCAAAUGGACUUGCAAUUGUAUAGAUCCUCUGGAAGACAGUGUUGCUGGGAACACCUGGAAUCCUCCUACUGUCCUGAGCCAAACCAGCAGUGUGGUGUUGGAGAGGGAUCAGCUGCUCUGACCGAAGAUUCUCAUCCUGCACCGACAGCAUCUGCUUUCUCUUCUGCCAUGGA
Pezoporus occidentalis (night parrot) is the source of this 1263-nucleotide RNA transcript. It is a transcript of the gene named solute carrier family 25 member 48, with no coding region annotated. Lineage: Eukaryota; Metazoa; Chordata; Aves; Psittaciformes; Psittacidae. The transcript is spliced from 8 exons. The record is from RefSeq and is a predicted model, not a curated record.